CUGUGUUGUUUCUCCCUGUAGCUCCUGGCGACAGUGCUGUCUCAGUCUGCCAAAGCCAAAGAGCACCUGCUGGAGCAGUCCAAGUCUGUAGAGCUAUCUACAGGCACCGCCUCUGCCUCUAGACAGUCGAGCCAAUCAGGAUGCCCGCUCCAUGAAGCUCCACCCUAUGACGCCACGGCAACCUGGAAGGGGGAGGGGCAAGGCGAGGGGAAGAGCUCUGAGGCUGUUGUCCAAUGGCUGAGUGACUUUCAGCUGCAGGUCUACGCUCCAAACUUCAUCAGCGCCGGGUAUGACAUAGUCACCAUUAGCAGAAUGACCCCAGAGGUAAGGAACGUUGACCUCUGAACCCCUAUC
This is a non-coding RNA of Salmo salar (Atlantic salmon), 354 nucleotides long. The record is from RefSeq and is a predicted model, not a curated record. Lineage: Eukaryota; Metazoa; Chordata; Actinopteri; Salmoniformes; Salmonidae.